This 372-nucleotide ribosomal RNA is filed under the name uncultured organism. Its description in RNAcentral is "partial 16S ribosomal RNA". It matches the Rfam family "Bacterial small subunit ribosomal RNA", at positions 527 to 896 of the family's 1533-position model. The record is from RNAcentral.
GUAGGUGGCAAGCGUUGUCCGGAAUUAUUGGGCGUAAAGCGCGCGCAGGCGGUCCUUUAAGUCUGAUGUGAAAGCCCACGGCUCAACCGUGGAGGGUCAUUGGAAACUGGGGGACUUGAGUACAGAAGAGGAAAGCGGAAUUCCAAGUGUAGCGGUGAAAUGCGUAGAGACUUGGGGGAACACCAGUGGCGAAGGCGGCUUUCUGGUCUGUAACUGACGCUGAGGCGCGAAAGCGUGGGGAGCAAACAGGGAUUAGAUACCCUGGUAGUCCACGCCGUAACGAUGAGUGCUAAGUGUUAGGGGGUUUCCCGCCCCUUAGUGCUGCAGUUAACGCAUUAAGCACUCCGCCUGGGGAGUACGGCCGCAAGGCUG